GACGAACGCUGGCGGCGUGCUUAACACAUGCAAGUCGAACGGAAAAGCGCUGCUUUUGUUGGGGGCUGGGGUGGCGAGCGGGUGAGUAACGCGAGAGUAACCUGCCCUGCACUCUGGGAUAACUUCAGGACACUGGGGCGAAGACCGUAUAGGAGCUCCUGCUGCAUUGGGGGGGUUGGAAAGUGUCGGCGGUUGGGUCUGGACUCGCGGCUCAUCAGCUUGUUGGUGGGGUAGUGGCGUACGAAGGCUUUGACGGGUAGCCGGCCUGAGAGGGUGACCGGCCACACUGGGACUGCGAUACGGGGCAGACGCGUACGGGAGGGAGCAGUGGGGGAUAUCGCAAAGUGGGCGCAAGGCUGAUGGGACGGCGCCGUGUGGGUGGUGAAGCUCUUCGGGUUGUAAACCGCUUUCGCCUGGGAUGAAGCGGGAGUGACGGUAACGGGUAAAGAAGCACCGGCUAACUACGUG
Molecule: ribosomal RNA, 468 nt
Filed under: uncultured bacterium
Lineage: Bacteria
Description: partial 16S ribosomal RNA
Rfam family: Bacterial small subunit ribosomal RNA
Source: RNAcentral